This 2362-nucleotide long non-coding RNA is filed under the name Mus musculus (house mouse). RNAcentral describes it as "long non-coding RNA chr16:92698177-92700539". Lineage: Eukaryota; Metazoa; Chordata; Mammalia; Rodentia; Muridae. The record is from RNAcentral.
GUGUGCGCAGCGGCUGGAGAGGAGAUAGUUUUCUAACCAAGGCCUCAAAGAACUCUAGACUACAAAAAAAGUUGAAAGCAUGGGGGACUCAGGCCACCCCGAACUCAUGAGCUCGAAUCCACCCUCCAGCUCCGGCGGGAGUCCGGAGCUCUCCUUCAGGCAACGAACCCACUCCGCUUAAGCAAUGUAGGGGCACCUCCCCCACCUUGUUCGUCCCCGCGGCGCCGAGGGCAUUUUCGCCGAAGAGCUUUAAGGGUCUCCUUCCUGCUUGGCUCGCUGCCGGCUACUGUCCCCAGCCGGAGCAGCUGGCCUGUGCUCCGGGGUCCCUUACUUCUCUUGGGCCUUGCUUCCUCCGGAACUUCUUACUACCCACUCCAUGGAGCCCGCUACUGUCCACAUAUUGACCGAACCCCUCCACUUUCAUCUGUGCUCGGGUCCCUGGCUGGUCCCCGCGUGUGUCUUCCUUCCACACGCAUCUGCGCAGCCUGGGUUCCGUGGAAGAGGAAGAAGCUGUGGAGGUCCCGGCACGGAGGCCUUGUCUGAAGUUUGGGGUGGCUUCUCUUGCCCCAGGCGGGUAGGAGCUGGCGGCAUGGAGGAUCAGGCAGGCCUUUCACGGUCAUGUCGGGGCUCAGACCGGACGCCAGGGGGCAGCAGCGGCCCUCGUUAGGCGUCCUGGGAAGCGGAGCAGGGCACUGGGCACGCCCCGACGGCGCGAGGAUCAGUCUCACCUGGAGGUCCUUAGGGUCGAUCUUGUGAGUUUGGGGACAGACAUUAGGAAGUGGCCACCAGAACCCACCUGAGCGCCCCCGUCUCUCAGACCGGUGGUAGCCGGUCCAGCUUGCAUGGGAAUCCCCCGGCUGGUGGGUCUCUACUGUCGUGAUCCACCCAAAUUAGGGUCUCAUCUCUUCUCAAAGCCUCUUUGCCUGGGCUCCGCCUUAUGCUAGUUCAGGACCAUGAGUUCCUCAGGUGUCCAGCGAUUGUCAGCGAAGGCUCAACUUCUCCAGCCUUCUGUAUUUUCCCGAGUGGGCCCGACUUUCCUCCUUCAGCACAAAGAUCGUGACAGCAGGGCAAAGCUCAGUGCUCCCCUGGCGUUUGGGGGGAUCCGGAGCUUUGGGAAGACAUUUUUUCCUCCUUGCUUUUCUUUUAAAACGAAUCUUAAAGAAGUCCCAAUUCAGGGGUCGAAUCCCGCUGCCUGCGCUCCCCUGCCAGGGCCACAGCUUCCAAGUGCAGCCAGGUUCUGGUGUGCCGUAUUUACUGGAGAGUUCAUGGCCAGUGGAAGCGAGACUCCCUCAAAUAGCUAGCUAGACUCCCCUCAAAUGCAUUUUUUGAGCAGCCGACUUCAGAUCUAGUGCUCCUGGAGCCACAGCCAAGCACAUCCACACAGACCAACCGAGACAGGGCAUCAUCAGAACAGUGUGGCAGAGACAACGCUCGACCUUGACUCCAGGGGAAAGGGUGUCUCUCCGGCCCUUCAAAAGAUUAAAGGAAUCGCGUUGGGGUCAAACCUCAAACUGCGCAUGGAGUUUAGGGUUGUCUGUCUGGCAGAAGCCUAGGAAAGACAGUUACAUGAACACAGGCACCAAGUUUGGCUUUCAAGGUUCGCACCUUGAGCGCUGCUCAGCUGAGUUACUGCUAGUAACUCAGUUAGUUCGAAGCUCGAUCAGGAUAAAGCAACGAAAAACUGCAAAAAUCCGGCCUCGGGCAUCCCUGGACCUGUGUGGGUUGUCACUGAGCCACUUGACACGCACUUGAAAAACACAGACAAACAAAAUCAUCGCCCCGUCUUUGCUGCAAAAUAGCAAUCAGCAAGCGCGCAGCUGGGACUCUACCGAGGGGCACCAUGAACGCGCAGUCCUUGCGGCUUUGGACAGAGUUCAUGCAAGUCCUGCAGCGGGAGAGGGAAAUGAGGAAUUCCUUCCCACCCAGAGUGCGCAUUUCACUGUCAAUGCACACUUUCUCUCGCUUGCCUCACCAAGAGCUAAAGGAAAGGUUUACAACUUUCACUUCCAGGCUUCCCCCAGAGUGACACUAAAAUUUACAUGAUUAAAAAAAAAAAAGGAAAAAAACUGCGAGGGAAAGAUUUGUUUAAGCUGCUACUGUGUGACAGUCUGACAAAUUUGUUGCUGGGGAAGUUUAAAAGUGAGCACAACAGGAUUUGGACUUUCUACCAUGAAUUUUAAAAGUAGUGUUUGGUUCAGUGAGAGGCAGGCAACCAUUUCAAUGGAGGGCGGAGCGGUUUUAUUGACUUAUUCUUCUACAUCCUUACGUGACUGGCUAACUGUAAGUGGUCUCAGAAAACUGAAAGUUUUGUGUGCUUAUUCUAUGAAAUCAUCUCCAAAAUAUAUAAUAGUUCUCUUAAAUC